RNAcentral lists this long non-coding RNA (284 nucleotides) under Physcomitrium patens. Its description in RNAcentral is "long non-coding RNA (PPAT_LNC004371)". Lineage: Eukaryota; Viridiplantae; Streptophyta; Bryopsida; Funariales; Funariaceae. The record is from RNAcentral.
UAUCUAGGCCCUGAUGAAGAAAUAAAAGAAUUUAGAAUUUACAAAACUCUAAACUAUAAAAUAACAUUAACCAAGGAUAUAUUUGAUGAGUCAAAAUUCUACAAAUUUGAUUACAUUGAAACCACUUUCAAUUUAGCAAUUUUAUUCUCACUUUUUGAAUAUUUUCUUACAGAAAAUAAAAACAAUAAAGACAAAGAGCCAACCAUUUUAAAAAUGACUAUGAAACAACAACAAUAUUCUACAACAUCAACUCGGAUUUUAUCACCUACUUUACAAUCAAUAAU